RNAcentral lists this ribosomal RNA (495 nucleotides) under uncultured bacterium. RNAcentral's name for it is "partial 16S ribosomal RNA". It matches the Rfam family "Bacterial small subunit ribosomal RNA", at positions 28 to 507 of the family's 1533-position model. The record is from RNAcentral.
GAUGAACGCUGGCGGCGUGCCUAAUACAUGCAAGUAGAACGCUGAAGGAGGAGCUUGCUCUUCUGGAUGAGUUGCGAACGGGUGAGUAACGCGUAGGUAACCUGCCUGGUAGCGGGGGAUAACUAUUGGAAACGAUAGCUAAUACCGCAUGACAACAGUUAUUGCAUGAUAACUGUUUAAAAGGGGCAACUGCUCCACUACCAGAUGGACCUGCGUUGUAUUAGCUAGUUGGUGAGGUAACGGCCCACCAAGGCGACGAUACAUAGCCGACCUGAGAGGGUGAUCGGCCACACUGGGACUGAGACACGGCCCAGACUCCUACGGGAGGCAGCAGUAGGGAAUCUUCGGCAAUGGACGGAAGUCUGACCGAGCAACGCCGCGUGAGUGAAGAAGGUUUUCGGAUCGUAAAGCUCUGUUGUAAGAGAAGAACGAGUGUGAGAGUGGAAAGUUCACACUGUGACGGUAUCUGACCAGAAAGGGACGGCUAACUACGUG